CUUGUCCGUAUUUUCUUUUUUCUUUCAAUAGAAUUAUAUGUAUAUCUAAUUCAUGUCUACGCUUUUACUAAUAAGGUCUCCGCUAAAAUUGAGCACUGCCAAUUGUACGUUUUCAAAGUUAAGUUAAAAUCAUUCUCUUCGCCGAAAAAAUUGUUCGUGUACCCGUAACCCGUGUGUUCCUCGAUAACGUAAAUACCGGUCGGGUCCGAGUGCGCUCGUCGUCGUCGUCG
Cinara cedri is the source of this 230-nucleotide non-coding RNA. NCBI's taxonomy places the organism in Eukaryota, Metazoa, Arthropoda, Insecta, Hemiptera, Aphididae. The record is from the annotation of a GenBank genome assembly.